Molecule: ribosomal RNA, 431 nt
Filed under: Rodentibacter pneumotropicus
Lineage: Bacteria; Pseudomonadati; Pseudomonadota; Gammaproteobacteria; Pasteurellales; Pasteurellaceae
Description: bacterial SSU rRNA
Rfam family: Bacterial small subunit ribosomal RNA
Source: RNAcentral
UCGAACGGUAGCAGGAAGGAAGCUUGCUUUCUUUGCUGACGAGUGGCGGACGGGUGAGUAAUGCUUGGGAAUCUGGCUUAUGGAGGGGGAUAACUGCGGGAAACUGCAGCUAAUACCGCGUAAAGUCUUUGGACUAAAGGGGGCGUUUGCUCUUGCCAUAAGAUGAGCCCAAGUGGGAUUAGGUAGUUGGUGGGGUAAUGGCUCACCAAGCCGUCGAUCUCUAGCUGGUCUGAGAGGAUGACCAGCCACACCGGGACUGAGACACGGCCCGGACUCCUACGGGAGGCAGCAGUGGGGAAUAUUGCGCAAUGGGGGGAACCCUGACGCAGCCAUGCCGCGUGAAUGAAGAAGGCCUUCGGGUUGUAAAGUUCUUUCGGUGAUGAGGAAGGCAGUUUGGUUAAUAGCCAAGCUGAUUGACGUUAGUCACAGAA